This 232-nucleotide unclassified non-coding RNA is filed under the name Hevea brasiliensis (rubber tree). The record is from RNAcentral. Lineage: Eukaryota; Viridiplantae; Streptophyta; Magnoliopsida; Malpighiales; Euphorbiaceae.
CACCAUCUGAAAGCUCCUAAUCACGUCUGGAUGUGUUCCCGGUGGAAAACCAGAGUACCCAUAUGAGUACUCACCCUGGCCAUAUCCUGCCGCAUAAGAAGGCGGCGGCUGAUGCUGCUGCCGCCGCCUGUCGUCACUUGGAGGAGGAGGGAAACUAUUGUAAGCGUGGUCCUGCUGGUUAUAAGACUCGGUCAGGGAUGGAGCAGAGGGGGCAUAGGACUGCUGAGAUGAG